GACGAACGCUGGCGACGUGCUUAACACAUGCCAGUCGAACGGAAAGGCCCCAGCUUGCUGGGGUACUCGAGUGGCGAACGGGUGAGUAACACGUGGGUGAUCUGCCCUGCACUCUGGGAUAAGCCCGGGAAACUGGGUCUAAUACCGGAUAGGACCGUGCUUUAGUGUGUGCGGUGGAAAGUUUUUCGGUGCAGGAUGAGCCCGCGGCCUAUCAGCUUGUUGGUGGGGUAAUGGCCUACCAAGGCGGCGACGGGUAGCCGGCCUGAGAGGGUGUACGGCCACAUUGGGACUGAGACACGGCCCAGACUCCUACGGGAGGCAGCAGUGGGGAAUAUUGCACAAUGGGCGCAAGCCUGAUGCAGCGACGCCGCGUGGGGGAUGACGGCCUUCGGGUUGUAAACCCCUUUCGGCAGGGACGAAGCUUUUGUGACGGUACCUGCAUAAGAAGCACCGGCUAACUACGUG
Molecule: ribosomal RNA, 465 nt
Filed under: uncultured bacterium
Lineage: Bacteria
Description: partial 16S ribosomal RNA
Rfam family: Bacterial small subunit ribosomal RNA
Source: RNAcentral